GACGAACGCUGGCGGCGUGCUUAACACAUGCAAGUCGUACGGUAAGGCCCUUUCGGGGGUACACCAGUGGCGAACGGGUGAGUAACACGUGAGUAACCUGCCCACAACUUUGGGAUAACGCUAGGAAACUGGUGCUAAUACUGGAUAUGUGCCCCUGCUGCAUGGUGGGGGUUGGAAAGCUCCGGCGGUUGUGGAUGGACUCGCGGCCUAUCAGCUUGUUGGUGGGGUAGUGGCCUACCAAGGCGGCGACGGGUAGCCGGCCUGAGAGGGUGACCGGCCACAUUGGGACUGAGAUACGGCCCAGACUCCUACGGGAGGCAGCAGUGGGGAAUAUUGCACAAUGGGCGCAAGCCUGAUGCAGCAACGCCGCGUGCGGGAUGACGGCCUUCGGGUUGUAAACCGCUUUCAGCAGGGACGAAGCCUUUUGUGACGGUACCUGCAGAAGAAGCACCGGCUAACUACGUG
This 465-nucleotide ribosomal RNA is filed under the name uncultured bacterium. RNAcentral's name for it is "partial 16S ribosomal RNA". It matches the Rfam family "Bacterial small subunit ribosomal RNA", at positions 28 to 507 of the family's 1533-position model. The record is from RNAcentral.